GUGUCAGCCGCCGCGGUAACACGUGGGAUCCGAGCGUUAUCCGGAUUUACUGGGCGUAAAGCGCGUGCAGGUGGUUCGGUUAGUUGGAUGUGAAAUCUCCUGGCUCAACCGGGAGUGGCCGUUCAAUACUGCCGGACUAGAGGGCGAUAGAGGGAGGUGGAAUUCCCGGUGUAGUGGUGAAAUGCGUAGAUAUCGGGAGGAACACCAGAGGCGAAAGCGGCCUCCUGGAUCGACCCUGACGCUAAGACGCGAAAGCUAGGGGAGCGAACGGGAUUAGAAACCCUCGUAGUCC
RNAcentral lists this ribosomal RNA (292 nucleotides) under uncultured bacterium. Its description in RNAcentral is "partial 16S ribosomal RNA". It matches the Rfam family "Bacterial small subunit ribosomal RNA", at positions 505 to 796 of the family's 1533-position model. The record is from RNAcentral.